Molecule: long non-coding RNA, 493 nt
Organism: Nicotiana attenuata
Lineage: Eukaryota; Viridiplantae; Streptophyta; Magnoliopsida; Solanales; Solanaceae
Exons: 2
Source: RefSeq, a predicted model, not a curated record
AUGUCCCUCAUACCACUAGUUAAUUUAGCAAUUGCUACGCUCCAACUCGGCGAUGGGCAUUAACGCGCCCACAUAUCGUCUUCACUCUCUUUUGCGACCAUAAUACUGAUGAAUUUAACCUUUCUUUUGCUUCGUUCAGCUCUCGGCUUACACCCUACUCGCGAUCUCAAGUUGACUGAUCAAGUACUCCUUAUUGAGCAAAGACCAAGUGCGGACGGUGUUCGCCAUGUAAACCGGUCCGAGUCUCUGUUCAACCUGGUUUUACCUCUACUUUAGAGUACUACCCUCAAGCUUGGAGGUGCAAGUAUCGCAACAAGCUCUUCAUGCCUUAGUCUGUACUGCUCUUGUUUCUUUCUUUCUUUCUUAAAUUCUCUACUUGCUAAUUACUAAGCAUUAAUUUCUUCUUCUCCCUCUCCAGUACUGUGUAUAAAUCAGAAAAGAUCGAUCCAACAAUACUCUCGGUUCAAAUUAAAUUGUACUUUUUUAUAGACUU